UCUUCCUUCCCAUCAUUUUUUCCAUCUUCAUUUGUUUCAAUCGAAAUUUUUUCUUCCUUCUAACGUUAGAUUAUUAUAUGUCAUUAUCAUGAUACUUUUGUUUAUUCGUACUAUGUUGUUCUCAACCAGAUAAUGAGCCGAAAAUUUAGCUCCAUUAAGGACAUUAACGAUACAAAGGAAACAUGGAGAUAGCUGAUGAGGGUCAUAGUAUACCUUUAACCAAAAUCCUAGUCGUUGAUCAUGUCGAUGAUUCCAUUGAGUCUUUGUCUGCAUAUGGAGAAAAUGAUCCUGAAAACUUUAUGGAACGAAAUUACUAAUUACUCAUGAUGUUGAAGAAUCUGACUGUCAACUUUAUGGAACUACUCAACUUUCAGGAACGAAACCAUCAAAAAAAGUGAAGAUUGAAUCAAACGC
Molecule: long non-coding RNA, 414 nt
Organism: Vicia villosa (hairy vetch)
Lineage: Eukaryota; Viridiplantae; Streptophyta; Magnoliopsida; Fabales; Fabaceae
Exons: 3
Source: RefSeq, a predicted model, not a curated record